This is a long non-coding RNA of Sapajus apella (tufted capuchin), 343 nucleotides long. RefSeq lists it as uncharacterized. The transcript has 4 exons. Lineage: Eukaryota; Metazoa; Chordata; Mammalia; Primates; Cebidae. The record is from RefSeq and is a predicted model, not a curated record.
GAGAACAUGCACUGGUGAAGGGACAGUCUCUUCAAUAAAUGGUGCUGGGAAAACUGGAUAACAGUAUGCAGAAAAAUGCAACUAGACCCCCUAUCUUUCACCUUAAACAAAUAUCAAAUAAAAACAGAUUAGAUUUAAAUCUAUGACCUGAAACUAUAAAACUACUAGAAGAAAACAUUGAGAAAAUAUCCCAGGACGUUGGUCUAGGCAAAGGCUUUUUAUGGAAGACCUCAAAAGUACAAGCAACCAAGCAAAAAUAGACAUAUGGAUUACAUCAAGCUAAAAUGCUUCUGCACAGCAAAGGAAACAAUCAGCAAAGUGAAGAGACAACUCACAGAAUGGG